This 209-nucleotide long non-coding RNA is filed under the name Mytilus galloprovincialis (Mediterranean mussel). Lineage: Eukaryota; Metazoa; Mollusca; Bivalvia; Mytilida; Mytilidae. The record is from RNAcentral.
GCACAAAAUUCCAUGCUUGCUGCACAACGUUUGUUUCUCCAUUUGAGAGUUCUAACUUUGAUUCUUCCAUGCCAUUUGUGUUUAAACCAGAACAAUUGUAGAAGGCAGUAACAUGCUAUUGAUAGUACUAUGACUGUUCAUGACCAUAUGCAUGAUCAAUUAAAAUCUUUUGUAAGUAAACAAUUCCGUACUUUGAUUAAUACAGGGCA